Molecule: ribosomal RNA, 484 nt
Filed under: uncultured Ferruginibacter sp.
Lineage: Bacteria; Pseudomonadati; Bacteroidota; Chitinophagia; Chitinophagales; Chitinophagaceae
Description: bacterial SSU rRNA
Rfam family: Bacterial small subunit ribosomal RNA
Source: RNAcentral
GACCGGCAAACGGGUGUGGAACACGUACGCAACCUCCCCGGAACAGGUGAAUAGCCUUGCGAAAGUAAGAUUAAUACACCGUACCAUAUAGAGCUGGCAUCAGCUUUAUAUUAUAGGUAGCAAUACCGGUUCCGGAUGGGCGUGCGCCUGAUUAGGUAGUUGGUGUGGGUAACGGCCCACCAAGCCUUCGAUCAGUAACUGGUGUGAGAGCACGACCAGUCACACGGGCACUGAGACACGGGCCCGACUCCUACGGGAGGCAGCAGUAAGGAAUAUUGGUCAAUGGACGGAAGUCUGAACCAGCCAUGCCGCGUGGAGGAUGACUGCCCUCUGGGUUGUAAACUCCUUUUAUCUGGGACGAAAAACGGACUUUUUAGUUCACUUGACGGUACCAGAGGAAUAAGCACCGGCUAACUCCGUGCCAGCAGCCGCGGUAAUACGGAGGGUGCAAGCGUUAUCCGGAUUUACUGGGUUUAAAGGGUGC